RNAcentral lists this transfer RNA (83 nucleotides) under Flavipsychrobacter sp. RNAcentral describes it as "tRNA-Tyr". It matches the Rfam family "tRNA". From Rfam's summary of the family: Transfer RNA (tRNA) molecules are approximately 80 nucleotides in length. Their secondary structure includes four short double-helical elements and three loops (D, anti-codon, and T loops). The record is from RNAcentral. Lineage: Bacteria; Pseudomonadati; Bacteroidota; Chitinophagia; Chitinophagales; Chitinophagaceae.
GGGUAGAUGGCCGAGUGGUUAAAGGCGACAGACUGUAAAUCUGUUCUCUCACGGGUACGGAGGUUCGAAUCCUUCUCUGCCCA